UACGUAGGUGGCUAACGUUGUCCGGAUUUACUGGGCGUAAAGAGCGCGCAGGCGGUCGCUCAAGUCGCGUGUGAAAGCCCCCGGCUCAACUGGGGAGGGUCACGCGAUACUGAUCGACUGGAAGGCAGGAGAGGGUAGUGGAAUUCCCGGUGUAGUGGUGAAAUGCGCAGAUAUCAGGAGGAACACCGGUGGCGAAGGCGGGUCUCUGGGCCGAUACUGACGCUGAGGAGCGAAAGCGUGGGGAGCGAACAGG
Molecule: ribosomal RNA, 253 nt
Filed under: uncultured bacterium
Lineage: Bacteria
Description: partial 16S ribosomal RNA
Rfam family: Bacterial small subunit ribosomal RNA
Source: RNAcentral